Molecule: ribosomal RNA, 301 nt
Filed under: uncultured bacterium
Lineage: Bacteria
Description: partial 16S ribosomal RNA
Rfam family: Bacterial small subunit ribosomal RNA
Source: RNAcentral
CAGUCGCCGCGGUAAUACGAAGGUCCCAAGCGUUGUUCGGAAUCACUGGGCGUAAAGGGAGCGUAGGCGGCGUGGUAAGUCAGAUGUGAAGUCCCGGGGCUCGACCCCGGAACUGCAUCCGAUACUGCCAUGCUUGAGGGUUGGAGAGGUGACUGGGAUUCUCGGUGUAGCAGUGAAAUGCGUGGAUAUCGAGAGGAACACUCGUGGCGAAGGCGAGUCACUGGACAACAUCUGACGCUGAGGCUCGAAGGCUAGGGUAGCGAAAGGGAUUAGAUACCCCCGUAGUCCCUGUCUCUUAUAC